GGACGAACGCUGGCGGCGUGCUUAACACAUGCAAGUCGAACGGAAAGGCCCCCACCUUGGUGGGGGUGCUCGAGUGGCGAACGGGUGAGUAACACGUGGGUGAUCUGCCCUGUACUUCGGGAUAAGCUUGGGAAACUGGGUCUAAUACCGGAUAGGACCAUGGUUUAGUGUCUCAUGGUGGAAAAAUUAUUGUUUUGGUGCAGGAUGAGCUCGCGGCCUAUCAGCUUGUUGGUGGGGUAAUGGCCUACCAAGGCGUCGACGGGUAGCCGGCCUGAGAGGGUGGACGGCCACAUUGGGACUGAGAUACGGCCCAGACUCCUACGGGAGGCAGCAGUGGGGAAUAUUGCACAAUGGGCGCAAGCCUGAUGCAGCGACGCCGCGUGGGGGAUGACGGCCUUCGGGUUGUAAACUCCUUUCGUUAGGGACGAAGCCACACCUUUUUUGGGUGUGGUGACGGUACCUUUGUUAAGAAGCACCGGCUAACUACGUG
This 490-nucleotide ribosomal RNA is filed under the name uncultured bacterium. RNAcentral's name for it is "partial 16S ribosomal RNA". It matches the Rfam family "Bacterial small subunit ribosomal RNA", at positions 27 to 507 of the family's 1533-position model. The record is from RNAcentral.